Molecule: long non-coding RNA, 142 nt
Organism: Callorhinchus milii (elephant shark)
Lineage: Eukaryota; Metazoa; Chordata; Chondrichthyes; Chimaeriformes; Callorhinchidae
Exons: 5
Source: RefSeq, a predicted model, not a curated record
ACGACAAUAAUGUGAAAGCUUUAGAAGAGGAUCUGGAGAAGAAGAAAGCAGAACUGGCUGAUUGUCAGAAGGAAUUGAAAGCUGCGCAAGAAAAAGCCUAUGAUAAACUAACACCAGAAGUGAAAAAAUUGAUCAUGUUACA